UGAGGAAUAUUGGUCAAUGGGCUUACGCCUGAACCAGCCAAGUCGCGUGAGGGAAGACUGCCCUAUGGGUUGUAAACCUCUUUUGUCAGGGUAGCAACAACAUCUACGAGUAGGUUGUUACGAGAGUACCUGAAGAAAAAGCAUCGGCUAACUCCGUGCC
RNAcentral lists this ribosomal RNA (160 nucleotides) under uncultured bacterium. RNAcentral's name for it is "partial 16S ribosomal RNA". It matches the Rfam family "Bacterial small subunit ribosomal RNA", at positions 355 to 509 of the family's 1533-position model. The record is from RNAcentral.